Long non-coding RNA from Choloepus didactylus (southern two-toed sloth), 2213 nucleotides. RefSeq lists it as uncharacterized. NCBI's taxonomy places the organism in Eukaryota, Metazoa, Chordata, Mammalia, Pilosa, Megalonychidae. The record is from RefSeq and is a predicted model, not a curated record. The transcript has 5 exons.
CAGGCCUUUCUGCACGUCGCGCAUGCCCUCGCUGCUCACAGGGUACUCGGCGCUCAGCCUGCGGGGGGGGAGGGGCGUGGGCACUCCGAGGUCCCCCUCAGGUGGAUGGGGGGCCCGGGAGCUCUGAGGUCUCCCCCUGAUGGAAGGAGGGGUACAGGGUCUCUGAGGUCACCCUUGGAUGGAUGGGGGGACACAGGGACUCUGAGGGUACCCCCAGAUGGAUGGGGGGCCCACAGGACUCUGAGGUCUCCCCCUGGGUGGAUGGGGAGGGCAUAGGGACUCUGAGGUCUCCCCCUAAUGGAAGGGGGGGUACAGGGUCUCUGAGGGUACCCCCAGAUGGAUGGGGGGGUGACCAUGGGGAUUCUGAGGUCUCCCUAUGAUGGAUGGGGGGGCACAGGGACUCUGAGGUCUCCCCCUGGGUGGAUGGGGAGGGCAUAGGGACUCUGAGGUCACCCCUAAUGGGAAGGGGGGACACGUGGACUCUGAGGUCACCCUCGGAUGGGGGGCACGGGAGCUCUGAGGUCUCCCCCUAAUGGAAGGGGGGGUACAGGGUCUCUGAGGGUACCCCCAGAUGGAUGGGGGGGUGACCAUGGGGAUUCUGAGGUCUCCCUAUGAUGGAUGGGGGGCCCACAGGACUCUGAGGUCUCCCCCUGGGUGGAUGGGGAGGGCAUAGGGACUCUGAGGUCACCCCUAAUGGGAAGGGGGGACACGUGGACUCUGAGGUCACCCUGCGAUGGAUCCCAGGCCUGCCCCUCCUGCUCAGCACCCCCAACACGUGCAGAAACUCACAUGAUGAAGGCCGUCACCCCGACGGCCCAGACAUCGGUCUGCGGGACAGCACCCUGCCCCUCCAGGAGCUCGGGAGCUGGGGGGCACAGUCCCCCACAGCCCAGGACCGCUCCGGGAUGUCACUCCCCCACGCGCACCCAUGGUCUCGAUGUAGUCCUUGAACGUCUCCGAGGGCAGGACCUUGUCCUGGGUGAGGCUCUGGGCAUUGCCGAAGUCAACCACCUUGAGCAGGUUGUACUCGGUGACGAUCAUGUUCUCCGACCUGAGGUCCAGGUGCAGGAUGCGCUGGCCGUGCAGGUACUGAGCCACGCUCAGCAUCUGCCACAGUGGCAGACAUUACUAAUCAAUUGACGCACUCUCCAACUGAAUCCAGAUUCUGUACCCCAGUUUGCUCCUUCGGCCACAGAAGUUCAGGGCUUCCCCCGACGACUCAGUGGCAUCACUCCGGAAGCCUCCAGUCUGCUUAGCCCUGUGUCAUAUUCUGCCCCCAGUUCCUAAUUCCCCUGGUCUUGAUGUUUUUGUUAGUCUCCAUCUUCUCCUGCUUUGCCUGGUGGCCUGUGCAGCUGGCUGAGCCAACACCUGGCAGGCAAGAGUCACAGACUGGCCCAGGACCACUGUCUCAUCCGAGAGCUCCUUUAGGAAUGACGGGGCUGAAGAGCAAGUGUGACGAAAGCAGCUCAGACAACGCUCUCCAGGGGUUAGACAUGAUCCUCGAGUGCCAGGCCCGAGAGUGUGGCUUGAACCCCACGAUGGGCAGCAGGCACCGGGAUGCCCUUCUGGGUCAACAGGAGCCUUGACCACCCAGCUUACUCCUGCCAAGCCCUUGGCCAGGCUGGGGACAGAGGAGCUCAUCCCGCAACUCCAUCUGUCACCUCCUGCAGGAAGCCCUUCCUGACUGCUCCAGCGCGAUGCUGGGCUCCUGACAACCCCCACCCUGGCUGGAAAACCCAUUUGGGAUCUGACCCAUGGGAACAGCUUUCUCCCACUGGUCUGGCUGCCAGGGAGGCUGGAGGCCACUGCUUCUGCUAUCCACCCUGGCAGCAGGUUCUUCGGGAAAGCUGAAUGCUCAGGCACUCACCUCGGUCCCUGCUCUUCAGACCUGACAGGCGGAAGGACGCCAGGCCAGGCUUCCUCCUGGGGAGCCCUUCCUCUGGACCUGCAGAGAGAGAAGGGAAGCCGUGGAGAUCACACCCCAAAAGGCCACGGAGCCUCGGGGCCGCUGCCUCCUGCUGGGCUGCCAGGAUCCACUGGGGCGGGUGGGGAUUCUGCCCUGAGCCCCCAGGUCCUGCCUUCCACUCCCCAGAGAAAUGGCCGUGGACCCUGGGGGCUUCACUGGAAACUGGAGCUCGACCUGCUGCUGCCACCACCCUCUCCCUGCACUUCUAGGCACUGGGGCCCGUCUGGAGGACCCUGGUAGAGGGCUG